CAAAGGAAUUGACGGGGGCCCGCACAAGCGGAGGAACAUGUGGUUUAAUUCGAUGAUACGCGAGGAACCUUACCUGGGCUAGAACGCAUUCGGAAUCAGGCCGAAAGGCCUGCGCCAGCGAUGGCCGCUUGCGAGGUGCUGCAUGGUUGUCGUCAGCUCGUGCCGUGAGGUGUCGGGUUAAGUCCCAUAACGAGCGCAACCCCUACUGCUAGUUGCCAGCGGGUCAUGCCGGGGACUCUAGCGGAACUGCCAGCGUAAGCUGCGAGGAAGGUGGGGAUGACGUCAAAUCAGCACGGCCCUUACGUCCAGGGCUACACACGUGUUACAAUGGCCGGUACAGAGGGCAGCCACCCCGCGAGGGGGCGCGAAUCCCGAAAGCCGGUCCCAGUUCGGAUCGGAGUCUGCAACCCGACUCCGUGAAGCUGGAUUCGCUAGUAAUCGCGCAUCAGCCACGGCGCGGUGAAUACGUUCCCGGGCCUU
This 480-nucleotide ribosomal RNA is filed under the name uncultured Rikenellaceae bacterium. RNAcentral describes it as "bacterial SSU rRNA". It matches the Rfam family "Bacterial small subunit ribosomal RNA", at positions 902 to 1382 of the family's 1533-position model. Lineage: Bacteria; Pseudomonadati; Bacteroidota; Bacteroidia; Bacteroidales; Rikenellaceae. The record is from RNAcentral.